Molecule: ribosomal RNA, 239 nt
Filed under: uncultured Anaerolineaceae bacterium
Lineage: Bacteria; Bacillati; Chloroflexota; Anaerolineae; Anaerolineales; Anaerolineaceae
Description: partial 16S ribosomal RNA
Rfam family: Bacterial small subunit ribosomal RNA
Source: RNAcentral
CGGAACUGCCGGUCAUAAACCGGAGGAAGUGGGGAUGACGUCAAGUCAGCAUGGCCUUUAUAUCCUGGGCUACACACACGCUACAAUGGAAGGGACAAUAGGUUGCGAAGCCGCGAGGCGGAGCCAAUCCAGCAAAACUUCCCUCAGUUCAGAUUGCAGGCUGCAACCCGCCUGCAUGAAGUUGGAGUUGCUAGUAAACGCAGGUCAGCCAUACUGCGUUGAAUACGUUCCCGGGGCUU